Molecule: long non-coding RNA, 365 nt
Organism: Pipra filicauda (Wire-tailed manakin)
Lineage: Eukaryota; Metazoa; Chordata; Aves; Passeriformes; Pipridae
Exons: 3
Source: RefSeq, a predicted model, not a curated record
UUCAGUGACAAACAAGAACUUUCUCCCUUUGUUAAUUAGAUGAACAUAUCAUGUGCAAAAACAUUCCAUACGGACACUGUGAUUUCUUGAGCUGCCCGAGGCAUGGCCCUGACAGGUGGGAUGGAAUACUGUUGGUGGAGUUUGCCACUUUGAGGAAAGCCUGAAGAAAUAAAGCAAUAGAAGCAGACUUCAAGUGGAAUUUGCAUUCUUUCUUGCUUUGCUCUCUGAUGAGAAGUGCUGGAGCACGUGUGGUGCUGCCCCAGUGGAGUGGAGCCUGCAGGCAGCACAGCCCAGGGCAGGUGUGCCCUGUUCUCCCUGGCAGUGCCUGGGUAAAGCACUGAGAGAGCAGAUCCUGAAUUAAAGCA